This is a long non-coding RNA of Cyprinus carpio (common carp), 1063 nucleotides long. The record is from Ensembl. Lineage: Eukaryota; Metazoa; Chordata; Actinopteri; Cypriniformes; Cyprinidae.
AUGCCGGUGUGUCACUGUUCGUCCAGCCAGUUCCCGGUGUCUGGACAGCCGUACCUGCGCAUGGGUCCAGUGCCAUACAGCGCUCAGAGUCAGAUUCCUCCCGCACCCCCGCAGCAGCCAGGUUACCAAACUGUGAUCAAAUCAGCAGCAGAACUACCAGAACAUGAUGCAGCCGCCGCAGAACCAGAUGCAAGUCAUGAUGCUCCAGCAUCCGUCAGUGCCAUCUUAUCAGCUCCUCCGUGGGGUUCCUGCCUCCUCCAGGAGCGGAGCAGAUGCUGUUCCACCGCACCACGGCUCCCUGCGGCUCGCAACAGAUUCCCGCGCAGCAGUGCUCAGGAGCUCCGCCCCCAGCAGCAGGUGGACUGGUGUUACCUGUGUCCCAGCAGCCUCCUUACUUCAGCUCCGAUCACUCACGCUCUCAGAAGCACAGCGACGUCUGCAGUCUGCAGCCAACACGAUAUCGUCAAAUCCUCCUCCUGCUGGUGCUCUUAUUGAUCCGCAGGGACUGGAGCUGCUGGAGCCCAUGAUAAAGGACAGCUUUAUCUUCUUCUGGAGGUCCGCUGAGGCUGUGACCUGGCUCUGUGCCAGCGAGAUUAUUAACGUGUAAUAGCUCAGCCGAGAACGAGCUCCAUCUCUCAGCGUCCAGCUUCUGUUUAUUCAGCAGUAUGAUGUUUUAUCAGAAAACCUCCAGCGUCCAGACCUUCUGUUACACUACUGUAGAAGUGUGCAAUAACGCAGUAUUUCCAGCUAAAAACAUUGAAGUUACAGCAGAAGACUUCAGAGCUUCUUCACUCCGAGAUCUCUCUCAUCAGAUAAAAACUGCUGCAGUAUGAUAACAACACACAGAGAAAGCACCGAGACCAGAAAAUGGAGCCUGCUUUCUGCAGUCUUUCACAUUAUAUAGCAAAGUUUUUAAUAUUUGCAUUAUUAAAAUAUUUUAAUGUCAAUUUCAGUGUUGUUUUAGUAUUAUUCAUAUGCAAUUAUCAUUUCUGUUAAUAUUUAAAGUUGGAUUUUAUUUUUAUAAAAUAAUAAAAAAAAAGUUUUUAUAUCCUUUAUUUUUUUU